CCUACGGGGGGCUGCAGUGGGGAAUAUUGGACAAUGGGGGGAACCCUGAUCCAGCCAUGCCGCGUGUGUGAAGAAGGCCCUCGGGUUGUAAAGCACUUUCAGUGAGGAAGAACGCCUGGUGGUUAAUACCCAUCAGGAAAGACAUCACUCACAGAAGAAGCACCGGCAUAACUCCGUGCCAGCAGCCGCGGUAAUACGGAGGGUGCGAGCGUUAAUCGGAAUUACUGGGCGUAAAGCGCGCGUAGGUGGCUUGAUAAGCCGGUUGUGAAAGCCCCGGGCUCAACCUGGGAACGGCAUCCGGAACUGUCAAGCUAGAGUGCAGGAGAGGAAGGUAGAAUUCCCGGUGUAGCGGUGAAAUGCGUAGAGAUCGGGAGGAAUACCAGUGGCGAAGGCGGCCUUCUGGACUGACACUGACACUGAGGUGCGAAAGCGUGGGUAGCAAACAGGAUUAGAUACCCUUGUAGUC
Molecule: ribosomal RNA, 466 nt
Filed under: Vreelandella stevensii
Lineage: Bacteria; Pseudomonadati; Pseudomonadota; Gammaproteobacteria; Oceanospirillales; Halomonadaceae
Description: partial 16S ribosomal RNA
Rfam family: Bacterial small subunit ribosomal RNA
Source: RNAcentral